AUUGAACGCUGGCGGCAGGCCUAACACAUGCAAGUCGAGCGGAUGAAGGGAGCUUGCUCCUGGAUUCAGCGGCGGACGGGUGAGUAAUGCCUAGGAAUCUGCCUGGUAGUGGGGGAUAACGUCCGGAAACGGGCGCUAAUACCGCAUACGUCCUGAGGGAGAAAGUGGGGGAUCUUCGGACCUCACGCUAUCAGAUGAGCCUAGGUUGGAUUAGCUAGUUGGUGGGGUAAAGGCCUACCAAGGCGACGAUCCGUAACUGGUCUGAGAGGAUGAUCAGUCACACUGGAACUGAGACACGGUCCAGACCCCUACGGGAGGCAGCAGUGGGGAAUAUUGGACAAUGGGCGAAAGCCUGAUCCAGCCAUGCCGCGUGUGUGAAGAAGGUCUUCGGAUUGUAAAGCACUUUAAGUUGGGAGGAAGGACAGUAAGUUAAUACCUUGCUGUUUUGACGUUCCCAACAAAAUAAGCCCCGGCUAACUUCGUG
This 484-nucleotide ribosomal RNA is filed under the name uncultured bacterium. Its description in RNAcentral is "partial 16S ribosomal RNA". It matches the Rfam family "Bacterial small subunit ribosomal RNA", at positions 30 to 507 of the family's 1533-position model. The record is from RNAcentral.